This is a long non-coding RNA of Cyanistes caeruleus (blue tit), 216 nucleotides long. RefSeq lists it as uncharacterized. Lineage: Eukaryota; Metazoa; Chordata; Aves; Passeriformes; Paridae. The record is from RefSeq and is a predicted model, not a curated record.
CAGGGCCUCCCCACCCUCAACAGGGAACAAUUUCUUCCUAAAUCAUUGUGUUUGGCCUCAGAGGUCCCUUUCCUGCCAAGAAGACCCCUGCUGCCUGUUCAUUCAACUAUUCAAAGUGUGCUCCUGCAGGCGACAUGCUGUUAAAAUAACCCCAUCAAUAACCCCGUGGUUAAUUUUUACAAAGGACAAACACUUCUGAAGAAAGAAAAACGGCUU